UAACCCUAUUUGUGAAAAUCCCGGAUUGUGUGACUAGGAUUACCGGCACCUGGUCAGGAGCACCCGGGGAUUCAGAAUCUCUGCCUUUGCGGGACAACAGGAAAGGGUAAGUCAGUGGCUGAUCAACCAUGAGUUUGAGGAGCAAGAUGAAGAAUGUACAUGUUCAAGCCAUAUCAGACCAAGCGGGUUAAGGGUCUAUCAGUGAUGAACUUUUGAAUUCUAUUUUGCCGUUUAGGUCGGCUAGAAAUAAAUGACUUGUAAUAGCGUUUGUAAAUAUUUUUGGGAUCCCAACUAUUUUAAAAGUUUUAAAUAUAUUACAAGUUUAUUUUCUUUCUGUUUAAUAUAAAAGUUUAAAUUCUGCGCUA
This is a long non-coding RNA of Cannabis sativa, 365 nucleotides long. RefSeq lists it as uncharacterized. Lineage: Eukaryota; Viridiplantae; Streptophyta; Magnoliopsida; Rosales; Cannabaceae. The transcript has 2 exons. The record is from RefSeq and is a predicted model, not a curated record.